CCAAGGCUCUGAAGUGACGCCUGGGGCCAGGCAGGCACCUGGUCCUGUAUUAGCCUCAGCUCAGGAAUGUGUCUCACCACUGCCCUGGCAUGUGACAGGCAGAUGUGCUGAGGCCAGAUGUCCAUUUUUCCUUAUUUCCACUGAAGGCUGAUAUCUGUAUUUGUAAGAGGUAAAUUCCAGAUUGUAUACAUUAUCAGAGUGGAUUUUGGUAAGACAAUCAGUACGCGCAAGGAAACAUUCCUGAAAAGAAAAUGUCGUAGAUCCAUUAUGGUUACAUGAUAAAGCUAUCAGGAGCUUAUCAUUUAAAGACUACCACCGUGAAGCAUUUGGUCACAGGGGGAAAAUGUCAUGUAAAUAUUUCACACAAAUAUACACAGAAUCCUCUCUAUCACAGCUCCUUAUCGAACCAGGCUGGGAAGAACCGGGAGUGCCUGGUGUGCUCUCCGUUGUCAACUCUCCAGCUUCUACAUCCAUACAGACAGACUACACGGUGAAAGGAAUCCAUGCACACCCUGAUCCUCUUUCAGCAUCCUCCAAAGCCUCCAGAGUGGACAGAUUACUACAUAAUUGAUGUGAUUAAUUUGUUUCAAUGAGUGAAAUGACAGUUGUUUCCAGCAGCUCAGUGAUCGGAACACCAGGCCUGGUUUCACUCCCUAGGGUUCCAAAUUGUUUUCAGUUACAAGAGAGAAAUGAUUGAUGAUCUGAUAUCAAUGGGAUGGAUGCACUGGAGCUGUCAUCUGAGGGUCCUUUUCAGUUCUGGAAGAGCCAGGUCCUAAGUGAAUGGGGAGUCUCAACCUGCAGUCUCAACCUUUCCACAAGAGUCCCAGGUUCCUGCUAUGUGUCAACAGCUACACAGAGCUUGCUGAUUCCUAGUCAACCAGCUACAUAGAUUUCUCUGUUACUACUGAAAUUGAUCAUUUUUCAUGUUUAUUGGUCAUACGAAUUUCCUCAUCUAUGGACCAAACCCUUUCAGUUCUCAGGGAGGUGAACUUCCCUGUACUCAACCAAAGUGGGCCUCUUGUGCAGAGCAGAGCGGGUCACGGCCCAAGCACUGUGAUCCAGACUUUGAGAAUGUCCUCAGACCUUUGAAGACUCAGAAACGUACAGAUUAUAAAGCUGGAAGUGACCUCAAGAGAUGACCUCACCCAGCCAUCUGCCUUUGUCAGCUGUCAGACAUUAUCUCAAUUUUGAGGAUGAGGGCUGCAGAGAUGGCUCAGCAUUAACAGGACAAGCUGUUCUUCUAAAGAACCAGGUUUGAUUUCCAGAACAUACACGAUGGCUCACAACUGUCUGGAACUCCAGUUCCAGAGGAUCUGACAAACAG
Peromyscus maniculatus bairdii (prairie deer mouse) is the source of this 1324-nucleotide long non-coding RNA. RefSeq lists it as uncharacterized. Lineage: Eukaryota; Metazoa; Chordata; Mammalia; Rodentia; Cricetidae. The record is from RefSeq and is a predicted model, not a curated record.